Molecule: long non-coding RNA, 204 nt
Filed under: Medicago truncatula (barrel medic)
Lineage: Eukaryota; Viridiplantae; Streptophyta; Magnoliopsida; Fabales; Fabaceae
Description: long non-coding RNA (MTRU_LNC005891)
Source: RNAcentral
GGAGUCACAUGGAGUUGCAUUGCAUGGUCAGUUGUAUGUAGAUAUACACAAGUAGGUCCAUUGCAUAUGCAUAAAAACAGCGGUGAGGGCUUCGGUCCUGGAGUACUAGUUGCUCAACAGCGGUGAGGGCUUCGGUCCUGAUGAAUGCUUUAACCAUUCAAAAGCGGUGAGGGCUCCGGUCCUGAUUGGUACCACAUGCAUAAU